Molecule: non-coding RNA, 31 nt
Filed under: Homo sapiens (human)
Lineage: Eukaryota; Metazoa; Chordata; Mammalia; Primates; Hominidae
Source: RNAcentral
UGAGAAGAUGGAUCACAGCCAAGGGCACAAU